GCAGCCAUCAUUUAAAGAAAGCGUAAUAGCUCACUGAUCGAGUCGUCCUGCGCGGAAGAUGUACCGGGGCUAAGUCAAUAACCGAAGCUGCGGAUGCACAUUUAUGUGCGUGGUAGGGGAGCGUUCUGUACGCCUGCGAAGGUGUCUCGUAAGGGAUGCUGGAGGUAUCAGAAGUGCGAAUGCUGACAUGAGUAGCGUUAAAUAGAGUGAAAAGCUCUAUCGCCGAAAGCGCAAGGUUUCCUACGCAACGUUCAUCGGCGUAGGGUGAGUCGGCCCCUAAGGCGAGGGUGAAAACCGUAGCUGAUGGGAAGCAGGUUAAUAUUCCUGCACCAUUGUUCAAUGCGAUGGGGGGACGAAGAAGGUUAGCUCAGCCGGGUGUUGGAUGUCCUGGUUUAAGCAUGUAGCCGUGCCUGGUAGGCAAAUCCGCCGGGCUUAGGUGAGGUGUGAUGACGAGAGGGCUUGCCCUCGAAGUGAGUGAUACCCAGCUUCCAAGAAAAGCCUCUAAGCUUCAGUUGAACAAGACCGUACCGCAAACCGACACUGGUGCGCGUGCUGAAUAUGCUCAGGCGCUUGAGAGAACUCAGGAGAAGGAACUCGGCAAAUUGAUACCGUAACUUCGGGAGAAGGUAUGCCGCUAGUAGGUGAAGGAGUACAUCCGGAGCCAAACGCGGUCUCAGAGAAUCGGUGGCUGCGACUGUUUAUCAAAAACACAGCACUCUGCAAACACGAAAGUGGACGUAUAGGGUGUGACGCCUGCCCGGUGCCGGAAGGUUAAGUGAUGGGGUGCAAGCUCUUGAUCGAAGUCCCAGUAAACGGCGGCCGUAACAAUAACGGUCCUAAGGUAGCGAAAUUCCUUGUCGGGUA
RNAcentral lists this ribosomal RNA (864 nucleotides) under Alexandrium tamarense. Its description in RNAcentral is "partial Bacterial large subunit ribosomal RNA". It matches the Rfam family "Bacterial large subunit ribosomal RNA", at positions 1112 to 1978 of the family's 2925-position model. The record is from RNAcentral. Lineage: Eukaryota; Dinophyceae; Gonyaulacales; Pyrocystaceae.